Molecule: unclassified non-coding RNA, 4084 nt
Filed under: Cimex lectularius (bed bug)
Lineage: Eukaryota; Metazoa; Arthropoda; Insecta; Hemiptera; Cimicidae
Description: tBC1 domain family member 9B, transcript variant X3
Source: RNAcentral
UUCAAUCAAACUAUUAUAGUUAGAUUAAUAAAGAAUUAAAUCAGUUAAAUCGGGCAAUACUCUGACAGUGGAGUCCUGUUUGAGAGGGCGUCUCAGUUGAACGUUGGAGCAAAAUCAGCUGUCCACCUAACAACAACGUUAUCUCUUGAUUUCGAGGUCAUCCGUGUUGAUUGUAAACUGGAAAUGGGCUGUUUACGUUUGACGUAGCUGGCGAUCAAAAGACGGACGGAUUGAAAAUUCGAUACCCCAGCAUCUUUUGAUGUUACCCCUCGAUGUUUUACGGUUCGCAGGAAAGCACAUUCCCAGUCGUCCGUAUAUCGACGUGGCGCGAAUAACUCACACGAUGAAUUUAUUAUAACACGUUAGCAACAAGGGAAAAAAGUUAAAAUGUGGGUGAAACCGGAGGAAGUGCUCAUCGCUACUGCCAUGUGGGACACAGAACAAAACAGCCUUUAUUUUUCUAUGCAAAAGAGAAAAGGCCAUGGUGAUAAGUCGACGUUAACCUCCAUAUUAGUCGGGACGCUGGAUAACAUAUUUGACACCAAGCCGGCACCUUACAGAAUACUGCACCAAACUCCAAAUUCUGAAGUUUAUUAUGUCAUUGCCUGUUCGAUAUCACACAAAGAGAUUGAAGACCAUUGGACUUGGCUUCAGCAGAACCUAGAUUGUCUUAACCAGUUUGAUAAGGAGGAAGAUGUGACUCAGUACGUCUGCACUAAAAUUGAGUCAAUGGUAUCGUCCGCUUCAAACAUCCCGCAGAUGAAUUGUGACGAUGAGCGCACAAAAAAGUGCAGGCAAAUUUUUAAAUUGCCUUCAAACGACCGAUUUGUCAGCUACUAUUCAUGCAGUUAUUGGUACAAAAAGGUCCCUCUCCAUGGUUGGCUCUACCUGACGAUGCAACAUAUAUGCUUUUAUGCUUAUAUGUUCGGUGUGGAGAAACAGUUCGUUGUGCCAUGGAGCGAGGUGACAAAGUUGGAGAAGACGGCUCGUCUCUUUUCCCUUGCGUCAAUUUGUGUCUACACGAGACAUAAGAAAUUCUAUUUUUCCAUGUUUGUCAACAUAAAUGACACAUACAAACUAAUGCAGCAGCUUGUUAAUCUGGCAAUGAAACAAUUAAUGGAUGAUAAAAUGGAGUUCACUGAAGACAAAGAACUUCUGAAUAAACUGAGCAAAAAUGUGAGCAAAAAGCAGACAUUCUUGAAAAGGGAUUUGGAUGCGAGAGCUCUCUCUGCGUCGUAUAGAUUACAAUUCCGUUUACCUCUUGCUGAGAAGGUAGAUGGUAGAACUGAUGGUACUCUGUGGACCCCUUACAAUAAAAAGCAUGUCUGGGGAUUCAUUUAUGUUUCACAAAAUUACAUUUGCUUUGACAGCAGGGUGAAAGACCUAGUGCAAGUUGUCAUCCCUCUCAGAGACAUUUACCAUAUAGAAAAAUGUGACAAAAGGAGUUCAUUGUCAAAUGUUACUGAUUCCAUUUUGAUAACGACGAAGACACUGUCGAGGCCUUCUUUUCUCUUUUCACAAAUCAGCGAUAGAGACUUCUUAAUUGAGAAAAUAGAAGAACUUCGUUCUAAACUGAAAGACCCCAGUGAUUCUGAAUCUGCAGUUGAUGAUACUUCCAAAGAAAAAUGGGAGUGCACCAAGCCAAUGAGGAUCCUUUUCAAAAAGGAUAUGCCAAAAGAGGUCAAGGCCCAGGAAGAAGUCAAAAUAAAGCAAUGGGAGAUGCACUUUGAACAAUUCGGUCGAGGUAUAUCCAUGUACAAAACGACUGACAUAAUGAAGUUGCUCCUACGUGGAAUCCCUGAUGCCAUGCGAAGGGAACUUUGGAUGAAUUUUUCAGGAGCUUGGAAUGAAAUGUGCAAUGAUAGGUCAGCGUAUAGAAAGCUCGUAGCGAAAGGUUUGGGCAAGGCAUGCACGGCAAACGAUGAAAUUGAACGUGACCUCCAUCGUUCACUUCCUGAACACCCUGCGUUUCAGUGUGAUGUUGGUAUAAAUACCCUUCGCCGAAUCCUCACUGCGUAUGCAGCUCGGAACCCUCAAAUAGGAUAUUGCCAAGCUAUGAACAUAGUAACCUCAGUAAUGUUGAUAUACUGCGCAGAAGAAGAAGCGUUUUGGCUUCUUGUCUGCUUAUGCGAACAGCUUCUACCUGAUUAUUACAACACCAAAGUUGUCGGUGCUCUAGUUGAUCAAGAAGUCUUAGACGAUCUCGUCUCAGCCUACUUAUCACAUUUACACUCAUCUUUACAACUGUUUGGAAUGAUAAAAAUGAUAUCACUGUCUUGGUUCCUUACAAUAUUUUUAAGCGUUAUGCCUCAUACGAGUGCUGUGAAUAUUGUUGAUUGUUUUUUUUAUGAUGGGGCAAAAGUAAUUUUCCAAGUGGCUUUAACAAUUCUCGACCUUAAUCAAGAAGCGCUUCUUAAGUGCAAAGAUGAUGGCGAGGCUAUGGAAUUGUUCUCCAAAUACCUUGCUGGGGUUUUUAAUGAACAGGAUCCAAAAAAUACACCUGAGGGUGAUGUCAAAAAGAGUAUUUCCGUCCAGGCGUUGUUGCACGAAGCUUAUUCAAAAUAUUCAUGCAUUACUGCCAACGAAAUAGAAGCCUUGAGAAACAAGCACAGAACGCAAGUAGUUCAGGACUUAGAGGAUAAUUUAAGCUCGUCUGUCUUAAGAAGCCUGCUGCCUAAUGAUUUCUAUAGCGAGGCGCAAUUAUCAGACUUGAUUUCAUUUAUAAGGGAAGAGGUUGUGUCUAGAAGAAAGCCUGAAGAAAAAUAUGAUCCAUCGAAACCAUUUUAUGAAGCAUACAAAAUUGAUUUUGACUUGUUUAAGCUAUUAUUUGAAAAUUGUUCUACCUGGGGGAAGUGUUCUAAAUCCGAAGACUUGGGCGCACGAUUAUUCAGGCUUAUGGACGCUGAUAAUGACGGAUUGCUGAAUGUAAAAGAGGUGGUCACUUCUCUGGGAUUGACAUCAAGGGCGGAUUCUUCGGUUCGCCUGCGUCUUCUUUUUGUACUCCACCUGCCUCCGAUUUUACCCAUUGUCGAAACAAAACACGUUUACCUCCCAGAUGGAGCUGAAUUUGCCGCCGAGGCUACUGAAUUUUUUGAGGACGGAUCGUUCAGCAUCGGGUCAAGUUCGGCUGACUCAACACCGAUUUUAGAAACCGGGAGCAACCACUCAGCUGAAGAUCAAAUUGGCCAUACGGCAUCUUCAAGCAAUGACAUCUCUGACACUCGUCCUGUUGCGGGGCUGCAAGUCGAUCGUGAUCACACUGGGGAGGAUGCAUCAUGGGAAGUUUCUAGCGUGUCAUCUUUGAGAUUGGCCGCUACUACUCCUCCAAACAAAACCAACCCAAAACUUCUGCCAAAAAUGGGCAUGUCCCAUUUCAACAUGUUGAUCCUUUCUCUUGACGAUUUACUCCAACAGCCGAGUUCAUCUGAUACAAACACAACUUUCUACACGGAGCAUUAUUUUAAAAAUUUAGUCUCGUUGCUCAUCGAUUUGGGCGAGGUCGGAAGGAAAUUCUAUACGAGAAAAGAAGAGUUGGCGAGCAGUUUACAAUCCAGCUCUGAAAAAUGGAACGAAGACGAACCGCCUCCUGAUUUAAAUGGAAAUCCCGGGAAGGAAUCGGAAUGGGCACUCGCGGUAGAACAGUUUAUUGCAACUAUCCUCAUAAAUGAGGGAGUUGUGAACUUUUUCUCGAAAAAUAUCGAUUUAUGCCCUGGGCUGGCGAUACUGCGGAAAAGUAGAUUUUCAAAACCAUUAUACCUUGUAUAGUAGUCUUGAUGCGCCACCGAAUGCACCAGUUGAUGAGGCCAAGAUGAUCUAGGUGAAAGAUGCUCUGGCUACAGGAGGAUUGCGGUAUUGUCCGUGAAGAUCAUAUUAGGAUGUCAGCGGCGUUAGCUGUGUAAAUUGAUCCUAGGUACUCCCUUGAGGAACACCAGCCUCGAUGCCUGAAAAUUCAGAACCUCAAACCACGAGAAGAACUUCAGGAAGAGAUAGUCGAUUAACAGGUGGUUCGGCUGGCGGUUCUUCCGGAGGUGGUUCUUCCUCAGGAGUUUUCGGCUCUUCAGGAGGUUCUUCAUUUACCUCUCUC